Peromyscus eremicus (cactus mouse) is the source of this 734-nucleotide long non-coding RNA. RefSeq lists it as uncharacterized. NCBI's taxonomy places the organism in Eukaryota, Metazoa, Chordata, Mammalia, Rodentia, Cricetidae. The record is from RefSeq and is a predicted model, not a curated record. The transcript has 3 exons.
UGCAGGGGAGCCUGCUCGGCCCUGUCUACUACAUGAGGAAGGGUCUGCAGGGGAGCCUCCUCGACCCUGUCUAUGACAUGAGGAAGGGUCUACAGGGGAGCCUGCUCGACCCUGUCUAUGACAUGAGGAAGGGUCUGUAGGGGAGCCUGCUCGGCCCUGUCUACUACAUGAGGAAGGGUCUGCAGGGGAGCCUGCUUGGCCCUGUCUAUGACAUGAGGAAGGGUCUGCAGGGGAGCCUGCUCGGCCCUGUCUACCACAUGAGGCAAGACCACAGACACAGCUGCGGUGGGCGUGUGAGAAGCUGGGCUGGGAAAGUCCAUCUGGCUGUGGGCAGCCAGACUGAGGGUGGGGGCCCAGUUGGCCAGCCAGAUUCUUGGCUGGAGAAGACUGGAAGCAUCUGGAAGGCAUCAUUCCCUUCAACCAAUGGAUGCCGAGAGACCAAACAAGGCUACACAUCCUGGGGUGAUGAAACUCAGCUGCUUCUCUUAACUAUGUCGCAUCUUGCAAAAAACAGAGAACUGAGUGAGAACCAGGGAGAUGGAAAUAUAGAAACGCACGAAGGGAUAACCAUACAAGUAUACAGGGGGAAGAUGGAUGUCUGUAAACAGCCAAGGAGAAAGGACUCAGAAGAAAUCAGUCCUGGAGACAUCUCGACUUUUCUGUUUUCUAGAAAUGCAAGGUACCUCGUCCUACACUGCUUGGUCCUGGAAAUUUGACUGGGCAAUGAGCGAUAA